AUGGAAAGAAAAGGCUUUACUAGUUCUACAAGCACCACUGUAAUCGUUGAGGCCCCAGGAGAAAGAGCUGAAGAAGCGCUCAAACAAGGUUCCAUAUUUUCUCUCUUUCUAUGUACCAUAUAUAAUGCGUGUUAUGCUAAGUAUGGAAUUUAUGUUUUUACCCAAAGUCUGCUUAUUGAAAAAGUCUUUUCAUUUUUAUCUUUGCCUUGCCUGCAUAUAAGAUGGGUCUCCAAAUGAAGCUGUAAAACUGCUCAAGGAGAAGCAUGAAAAAGAAUUUGGGGCAUCAGGGAAAAGCACUGAGCAAGAGCUCCCACAAAACAAAAAAAGUGAGGCCGCAAAUACCAAUGGAACCAACGAGAAGCCCGUGAGCAUUCAUAGGAAUCCAGUUUAAAAAGCAACAAAUAGCCACCAUGUUGGGGUUUCCGAGUGCAACAACCGUGCUCAAGGGACAGGCUGCGACAUUGAAGACAAUGAGGUUAAUGCAGAAGAUAGCGAGUUUGUUGGGGUUUUCAAUUUUGGCAACGAGUCCAAAAAGCCAAAUUAAUUUCAACAUUUCUCAUCUGUCCUUUGUGUGCUUAGUGUUGCUCUGCUUUGCUAUGUACAAAAUAAAUUGUGGUUGUGUUACGUGUAUUGUUAUUUGCUUGUUUUGGUUGGUUGGAGUGUCUCUUGCUAUGAGUGACGUAUAUUUAUUUUACUUUUUGGUUUGUAAAAUAACUUCCUCUAUAAGAAGGACAACCUUUCAUAUUGCUUUUUUUGGAGGAUUGAUGAGUUUUUAUGGUUGUCAAAGUUUGAAUUUGAUCAUUCGUUCUUGUUGCUAGUCUUCUUAAAUUGCUGUCUAGAAAAAACUAUUUGAAAGCCUGUAUUGUGGUCAUCGUUCUUUUUGCUAAUCUUGUUAAUAUUCUUAAAUUUGAUAUUUUGUUCUUUUGUUUUUGGCAUGGCCGGGAGUUGGCCAAGAGACUGGUGUGUUUCUUUGUGAGCGUGAUACUAUUGGCAGUGAAAACACACUCCAACAGACUGA
This 1018-nucleotide long non-coding RNA is filed under the name Prunus dulcis (almond). Lineage: Eukaryota; Viridiplantae; Streptophyta; Magnoliopsida; Rosales; Rosaceae. The record is from RNAcentral.